UCCCGGAAAAGGUGGUACGUCUUCAUGCACGUGGUGCAUGUGCAAACUGUUGCAGGACAGAGCUGAUGUCUGGAACAUCUUCGGUACUGUGUGUUAAGGGAGAAGAAACGUUUCGUAAUCUCUGUUGCCUCGCUGGGAUGCCCUGAGGUCGAAGCCCACCACAGCUGCAGGGAGGGAAGUUUUCUGCUGACUGCAAAACUUAGCAGUUGACCUCCUCGCCACAUUUUUUGAGCCAUUGGAGAUGUUGUUUCAGUACGAGGCUACGCUCAGCCAAGGAGAAAAUGCACACAACAGAGGUCUGAGAGGAGCCCAGCACAGGAGGUGGUGGUGGGAGGACUUCUUAAAUCAAUUUUCCUCCUGGGAAACCGCCUGAUUCAUUUCAAAGCAAAUUUCUGAUAGCAAAUAUUUUUCUUUUUUUAACAUGACUCCUCUCACAUUACUUUAAAUGAACUGGAUUGGGACUAGGUCAAAUGUCUCCAAGCCCAUAGUUCAAGUCCUCAUUGAUAUAUUAAGGAAAACUGGACUUGUUAUUGCAAAUUUGCUACACUUUCUCUUAGGGUAAUUGUCUCACAUAAGCCAAAGCAGUCUCGAUUCUUUUUUCUUGUGAGACCUACAAGAAAUGCAGCACAGCGUACAGUACUGGUCACAUGCAAAAAUAGCUUUUCUAGGCUCUAAAAAGUUUAAAUAAUGCCUGAAUCAUAAAGGGCUGAAGAUUAAUUAUUGACUUUGUGUGCCUUUGUAUGUGCUUUGUCAACUAUUUUACAAAUGUGUCUUUUAUAAAAGCAGUGUUUUCUUGCAACACAGUUGUAUCCAUGCCUUUCAAAACAUCCACAGCGCACUUUCUCCACACCAGGUGCCACAUCUCUGCUAGUGUCAAACAUAUCAACUUAUAUUGCUUGGUGUGUGACAACCUGAAUGGCGAACACAGAGAAUUCACCCUGCUGUAUCCACUGUGUGCCGAGACAAACUCUGGCCUCUGUCCAAGAUUAAAUAUAAUUUGACACAUCUCGUUUGCAUACACUUCAUUUGUAUGAAUGGGUCAUAGCGUCUGUGUCCAAACAUGACAUGACCUUUUGUCACAAGGUAUACUCUAAUGCUAUUCAGUCCAUACAGCAGGGUUUCAUAGCUUUACUGUGAAGCUUUUCAGGGGGGCAUUUUUCCUACAUGUUCUUAAUCAAGGAUGUUACACUGUCAGCUGUUAUAUGUAUGAAAGUAUGUUGAUUUACAUAUACUGCACGAAAAACAUGUACAUUACCAUGUACGAACUGUAUACAUGUGCACACUUACACUGUUUUCAUGUACAUGUGUGAAAGCUGUAAUGUGUGUAAAAGUCAUGUACUUCUAAACAUCCCAGAUAAACUUGAAAAUAUUUUAUAUCGA
Long non-coding RNA from Lates calcarifer (barramundi perch), 1380 nucleotides. RefSeq lists it as uncharacterized. Lineage: Eukaryota; Metazoa; Chordata; Actinopteri; Centropomidae. The transcript has 2 exons. The record is from RefSeq and is a predicted model, not a curated record.